UUGAAUAGCCUUUAAAAACACUUCAAAGUGACUCUGACAUAAUGUGGACUCCAUGGGGAACUCAAGCAGGAGGAAAGGUUAUGUUUAAAAAUUCUGCUGAUAACAAGGUAUAAGGUAUUACACCUGAGAGUUGCUGGAUUCCAAUGUGUUAGAACUGGCUUCACACCUAACUGCCCUUGUUAAGAAGCAAUUUUGAAGUGCUAAUGUUGUGCCAAGCAACUAGCCUGAACAUGAGGUCCCACCCACAUCCACUAGAGAGGAGGCACAUUUGUUCCUGGACUCUAUUGUCUUCAGUGCUUGUAUGCUCAAACAAAUACAACCAACCUCUAUGCAAACUGCCUUGUCAAAGGGAGCUAGGAAAUGGAUUAUUUCUAUUUCUCAUGUUCCCAGAUGAAUGUCUUCUUUCUUCCAACUAUGUGCAUGUUGGUCCCCUGCCUCCUUGUGACUACAAAUACUCCUCUCUACAUUGGAACCUGGAAUUGAAUAAUAUGCAAUGGAAUUGCCAAACAUCACUUGGACCUGUGCCCAGUAUUACCUCAAGAGUCUUCUGUAAUAUCUUUUUGAUGAUGGAGUCAAUAUCCUUAUUAUCUCUGGUUGCUGAGUGUUGCUAGUGCCAUAACUAUUGCUGCUACUACUACUGUCUUCAAGACCCACUGUCUAUGAUGUACUCUCAAAUAAUCUUCACCCUAAGUUCUGCAGAUGCCUCUGUCUUCCUAAGUAGUUUAUGGCUUAAAAAUGACUCACAUUGACUUUUUGUUUGAUAUUACAUUCAUAAUUCAGUUUGAUGUAUUUUUUUAAGUUUGGAGAAAUAUAUUGGGAGAGCUUGACAAAAAUACUUGCUUCAUUGUACCAUCUUAACUCUAUUCCUCCCCUUCCUACUCUAAGACUUAGAUAUUUACUACUUAUUGUUUUAAAGAAAAGCUCAAUUCAUUACUGUUUUCUGGUGUUUUUUUUAUUAUUUUUAAAUUUUUAUUUAUUUUGUCAAAACACUGAAUCUAUUGAAAUAAUAAUAUGAUUUUUUGUUAUUGAUGUAGUCAAUUAUGCUUAAAGUUUUCUUAAUGUUGAAUUAACUCUUCUUUUCUUUGUAUAAAUCCAACUUGAUCAUGGUGUAGAAUUUUUUAAAAUAUAAUAUUGAACUAGCAUUGAAUUUAAAAUGAUUACAUCAAUAUUCAUUAAGUAAAUUGGUCUUUAUUUUCUUUCUCUGCUUUGGCUUUCCUUGGUUUAGAUAUCAAGACCAUAUUUGUGCCAUAGAAGGAAUGUGACAUGAAUACUUCUAACUAAUUUUUCAAAUUCUUUGUGUAGUGUUGGAAAUAAUCAUUCUUUAAAUGUUUGAUGGAAUUCACUUGUAAAUCCAUUUGGUCCUGAGUUUUUUCUUUCUUUGAAGAGCUCAUUUAUGCCUGUUCAUUCAUUUCUUUCUUAGAUAGGGCUAUUUUGAGUAUUCUAUUCCCUGUUUUGUUAAUCUGGGAAAUUUAUCCUUUUGUAGAUAUUCAUUCAUUUCAUUGAGAUUUUCUAUUUUAUUUGAAUAUAGUUAAGCGAAAUAACUUCUGAUAAUUGCUUUUAUUACAUCUUCAUUGUUUAUGGAUUUGCCCUUUCCUUUUUGAUAAUGGAAAUUAGGGUUUCUUCUUUUGGAAAAAUAAUAAAAUUAGUUAAUGAUUUAUCUAUUUUACUGAU
Monodelphis domestica (gray short-tailed opossum) is the source of this 1671-nucleotide long non-coding RNA. The record is from Ensembl. NCBI's taxonomy places the organism in Eukaryota, Metazoa, Chordata, Mammalia, Didelphimorphia, Didelphidae.